This 76-nucleotide microRNA precursor is filed under the name Cricetulus griseus (Chinese hamster). RNAcentral describes it as "miRNA (ENSCGRG00001007576.1)". The record is from RNAcentral. Lineage: Eukaryota; Metazoa; Chordata; Mammalia; Rodentia; Cricetidae.
CAGUUAGUUGUGAGAUUCCAUGUGGGUGCUGGGAAUUGAACCCUGCUCCUCUGGAAGUGCUUUUAACUGCUGAGCC